GAAACAAGCUUGAAAAAGAAUUGACAAACGACUCUUCAGAAAGUAAACUGUAAUAGCCGUGCAUCGCAUCUUGGUUGCCGGUAGUUUAUGCCUGGUCCCGCGCAAUGAGCGCCUGCGAACCGUGUCAGGUUGGGAACAAAGCAGCACUAAGCGGGAUUGUUCAUGUGCCGUGGGGGUGCCUGACAUAACUAUCGGUAAUCAGGAUGGGGUGCACGUUUUGUUUA
This 224-nucleotide unclassified non-coding RNA is filed under the name Lachnospiraceae bacterium G11. RNAcentral's name for it is "Bacterial large signal recognition particle RNA". The stretch from base 89 to 188 matches the Rfam family "Bacterial small signal recognition particle RNA". The record is from RNAcentral. Lineage: Bacteria; Bacillati; Bacillota; Clostridia; Lachnospirales; Lachnospiraceae.